GAACCGUCCAAACGUUAUUCGGAAUCAUUGGGCUUAAAGGGUGCGUAGGCGGUGCGGUCAGUUGGGUGUGGAAUCCCUCGGCUCAACCGAGGAACUGCGCCCAAUACUGCCGUACUCGAGGGAGACAGAGGUAAGCGGAACUGAUGGUGGAGCGGUGAAAUGCGUUGAUAUCAUCAGGAACACCAGUGGCGAAGGCGGCUUACUGGGUCUCUUCUGACGCUGAGGCACGAAAGCUAGGGGAGCGAACGGGGGAUUAGAUACCCCGGUAGUCCUAGCUGUAAACGAUGAGCACUUGAUCGGAGACUCCUCCAUAGGUUUCCGGUCGUAGCGAAAGUGUUAAGUGCUCCGCCUGGGGAGUAUGGUCGCAAGGCUG
RNAcentral lists this ribosomal RNA (373 nucleotides) under uncultured organism. Its description in RNAcentral is "partial 16S ribosomal RNA". It matches the Rfam family "Bacterial small subunit ribosomal RNA", at positions 527 to 896 of the family's 1533-position model. The record is from RNAcentral.